GUCUUCUUUGUCUAGGGGAGCGAUAUGUGUCAAUGAUCGUUUAGUGAGACCAUACUUGCUGACACCCAUAUUUUUAAUUCGCACCCAAAUAUACUCUUGUUUGAGUGCAAUUUUUGGACGC
This 121-nucleotide non-coding RNA is filed under the name Oryctes borbonicus. RNAcentral describes it as "U4atac minor spliceosomal RNA". It matches the Rfam family "U4atac minor spliceosomal RNA". From Rfam's summary of the family: U4atac is an essential component of the minor U12-type spliceosome complex which is required for removal of the rarer class of eukaryotic introns (AT-AC, U12-type). These interacting stem loops have been shown to be required for in vivo splicing. The record is from Rfam by way of RNAcentral. Lineage: Eukaryota; Metazoa; Arthropoda; Insecta; Coleoptera; Scarabaeidae.